UACGUAGGGGCCGAGCGUUGUCCGGAUUUAUUGGGCGUAAAGAGCGUGUAGGCGGCCAGGUAGGUCUGCUGUGAAAACUCGAGGCUCAACCUCGAGACGUCGGCGGAAACCAUCUGGCUAGAGUCCGGAAGAGGAGAGUGGAAUUCCUGGUGUAGCGGUGAAAUGCGCAGAUAUCAGGAGGAACACCGGUGGCGAAGGCGGGUCUCUGGGCAGUAACUGACGCUGAGGAGCGAAAGCGUGGGGAGCGAACAGG
RNAcentral lists this ribosomal RNA (253 nucleotides) under uncultured bacterium. RNAcentral's name for it is "partial 16S ribosomal RNA". It matches the Rfam family "Bacterial small subunit ribosomal RNA", at positions 524 to 776 of the family's 1533-position model. The record is from RNAcentral.